This 65-nucleotide transfer RNA is filed under the name Stylochus stellae. RNAcentral describes it as "tRNA-Ala". Lineage: Eukaryota; Metazoa; Platyhelminthes; Polycladida; Stylochidae. The record is from RNAcentral.
CUCUUGAUAAUUUAUAUUCAAAAUAUUAGCCUUGCAUGCUAAAAAAGGGUUUAGUCCUCAAGUGA